AUGGUCAAGAAGAAAUCUUCAUGGAGCCAGGUUGUGAGUGGCAGGCCAACAAACCUCUUUGUUCCUGCAAGAAAUCUUCCAGUGCAGGAUCUUGGAGCUGUAAUUUUCGGCUGCACAAACAAUACUAUUGCUGAGUGCCACUCGCGCCAACUUUUUGGCUUGCCAAAAGCACAUCUCUCAUAUGUACACAACAUCAAGGAAGGGCUACCUCUAUUCCUGUUCAAUUAUGAUGAUCGCAGAUUGCAUGGCGUUUAUGAAGCUGCAAGCAAUGGCAAAUUCUGUCCUGAAUCAAAUGCAUGGACAAAUAAUGGCUACGAAAAGACAAGCUAUCCUGCUCAGGUUGCAAUGCGGAUGAGAAUGUGGUGUGUUCCACUAGAAGAGAGUAAAUUCAGGAAUGCUAUUAUAGGCAAUUAUUACCAGAAGACGCCCACUGUCUAUGGCCAGAAGCCUCACUUCUUCAGAUUUGAAUUGGAUCAUGCACAAACACGUGCUUUGAUGGCUAUGUUUACUCCUUCGCCUUCCCCCAUCAAGUUCUGGACGCCUCCUGUUUCACAACCAGGAGCUCAGCAUGUGAGUGAACCAACACCACCUCCUGUGUGGGUACAAAAAUUUGAGGGUAACAAUGAGCUCAAAGCAGAAAAGGUUUUAGUGUCAUAUGCAGAUGCGGUAAAGCAAAGCAAGUUUGAGGUUGAGGGAGUUGGACUAAGAGAUGUGGAUGAUGGGCGGAACAAUGAGUGGAACAAUGAGCGGAACAAUGAGUGGAACAAUGAGUGGAACAAUGAGCGGAACAAUGAGUGGAACAAUGAGUGGAAUAAUGAGCGGAACAACGAGCUCAAACCAGAAAAGGUUUUACCAGAAAAGGGUUUAGUGUCAUAUGCAGACAUGGUAAAGCAGAACAAGUUUGAGGUUGAGGGAGUUGGAAUGGCAGAUGUGGACAAUGGGCAUGCCAGCUCAAGCAAAGAAUCUUCCAAUGGUUUCGAUGAUCUCGACUGCAAAGAGACACCACCAGAGUGGGAGGAUCAUGCACUGUUCAGUAAGGGAGUUGAAGUGCAACAGCAGCAACAAUCUGCCCAGCAGGAAAAUGAGCUUAGCUUCACGUUGGUAUUAGAGAAGCUUAAGGCUCUAUCAGUCCAGCAACUUAGUUCUGAAUUUUAUGCCAAUGGAGCUGGGACUGAAGGCAUUGAUGCAUAUGGUUGUAAGGACAUGCAAGAAGUUAAAGGUACAUUUCUUGAGGGGCACUGUGGUUUGCCGGAGAACUUAGAUACCGAAGUCGAUCAGCUUGCCUGGGAGCAUUCCAGUUUGCUACUCCAAGGAUUGGACUAUGAAUCCUAUUCAGAAGCUAAGUUGAUAGAUGUGGUUAAAGGACUGUCCGAACGUAUAGAGACUAUGGAGAAGAAGCAGAUUAUUUCCAACAAAGAAGUCAAAUGCCUACAAGGAGUGAAUGACAGGUUGCUCAAAAGAGUUGUUGAGCUAAAGAACACAGUGAAGAAUUUGAAUUCGAAAAUAGAUCCUUUAUCUCUAGAUGAUUCACUAAAUCAGUUUGUUGAAGAAUGUUUGGGUUCAGAAGAUGUCAUUUAUCUCAUUGGUGGUUUCGAUGGCAUCUCAUUUUUGUCAUCAUUAGACUCCUUCUCACCCUCCUUGGACAUACUAACACCUCUGAAACCAAUGACUGCUGGGAAGUCCUAUACCUCUGCUGUCGCGUUAGAUGGCAAAAUAUUUGUUCUUGGUGGUGGUGAUGGCGCUUGCUGGUUUGAUACAGUUGACUGUUAUGACCGAAGACGUGAUGAUUGGACCCCAUGCCCAGCACUGACUCAUGGAAAGGGGAGCCUCGCUGGAGUUGGUUUGCAUGGGAAAAUUUAUGCAUUUGGCGGUGGAGAUGGCAUUUGCUGUUUCUCUGACAUGGAGGUGUUUGAUCCUGCUCAGGGAAAGUGGACAAAGAGUCACCCUAUGCUAGAAAAGCGCUUUUCUCUAGCUGGUACGGAACUUAAUGGUGUGAUUUAUGCAGUUGGCGGUUUCAAUGGCGUUCGAUAUCUGAGCUCUGCUGAGAGGCUUGAUCCUAGGGAGCCUAACUGGAAAAUGCUCCCAGCAAUGAGUACAGUAAGAGGUUGUCAUACGGUGGCAGUGCUUGAUGAGAAGAUAUAUGUAAUGGGUGGUUAUGAUGCUGAUGCUGGAGCAAUGGUGUCCACCGUUGAGGUGUACGAGCCAAGAAUGCCGUCAUGGGUGAUGGUGGAACCAAUGAACUACACCAGAGGGUACCACUCUUCAGCUGUGCUUGGUGGCUCGAUAUUCACACUGGGUGGGGUCAAAGGUGAAGCAGAUACAAUCUUGGAUGUGGUGGAGCGCUACAAGGAAGGCUGUGGUUGGGUGAAUACAGGGAUGAAGUCAACCGGCAGCAGAUGCUACUGCUCUGCCAUUGUUCUCUGA
RNAcentral lists this ribosomal RNA (2424 nucleotides) under Triticum aestivum (bread wheat). Its description in RNAcentral is "partial small subunit ribosomal RNA". Lineage: Eukaryota; Viridiplantae; Streptophyta; Magnoliopsida; Poales; Poaceae. The record is from RNAcentral.